GUGGAUGUAGCUCAGUUGGGAGAGCGCCGGACUUGGGUCCGGAGGUCGGGGGUUCGAGUCCCUUCAUCCGCACCA
Molecule: transfer RNA, 75 nt
Filed under: Mesorhizobium kowhaii
Lineage: Bacteria; Pseudomonadati; Pseudomonadota; Alphaproteobacteria; Hyphomicrobiales; Phyllobacteriaceae
Description: tRNA-OTHER
Rfam family: tRNA
About the family: Transfer RNA (tRNA) molecules are approximately 80 nucleotides in length. Their secondary structure includes four short double-helical elements and three loops (D, anti-codon, and T loops).
Source: RNAcentral